AGUUGAUCAUACGGUCGCGUGGCGCUUCGCGCCAUGAGGAAAGUCCGAGCACCGCAGAGCAGGACGCCGGAUAACGUCCGGUGGAGGCGACUCCAAGGAUAGUGCAACAGAAACAGACCGCAGAGCAAUCUGCAAGGAUGGAAAGGGGAGGUAAGAGCUCACCGACGCCGCGGCAACGCGGCGUGCCGUGUAAACCCCGUCCGGUGCAAGAUUGGGCGCAUGUCGCAUAGGGUUGCUCGCCCGAUGUGCGCCGUGAAUAUCGCUCGAACGCAUCGGCGACGAUGCGUCCAGAUAGAUGACCGUACACGACAGAACUCGGCUUACAGGUCAA
Molecule: RNase P RNA, 331 nt
Filed under: chicken gut metagenome
Description: Bacterial RNase P class A
Rfam family: Bacterial RNase P class A
About the family: Ribonuclease P (RNase P) is a ubiquitous endoribonuclease, found in archaea, bacteria and eukarya as well as chloroplasts and mitochondria. Its best characterised activity is the generation of mature 5'-ends of tRNAs by cleaving the 5'-leader elements of precursor-tRNAs.
Source: RNAcentral